This 327-nucleotide ribosomal RNA is filed under the name uncultured eukaryote. RNAcentral's name for it is "partial 18S ribosomal RNA". It matches the Rfam family "Eukaryotic small subunit ribosomal RNA", at positions 1470 to 1796 of the family's 1831-position model. The record is from RNAcentral.
CCCUUAGAUGUUCUGGGCCGCACGCGCGCUACACUGACGAUGUCGGAGAGUGUCUCCUUCACCGAGAGGUGUGGGUAAUCUUUUAAACAUCGUCGUGCUGGGGAUAGAUCAUUGCAAUUUUUGAUCUUAAACGAGGAAUUCCUAGUAAGCGCGAGUCAUCAGCUCGCGCUGAUUACGUCCCUGCCCUUUGUACACACCGCCCGUCGCUACUACCGAUUGAAUGGUUUAGUGAGGCCUUCUGACUGGCGCCGCUACUCUGGCAACAGAGCGGCGGAUGCCGGGAAGUUGGUCAAACUUGAUCAUUUAGAGGAAGUAAAAGUCGUAACA